RNAcentral lists this ribosomal RNA (373 nucleotides) under uncultured bacterium. RNAcentral describes it as "bacterial SSU rRNA". It matches the Rfam family "Bacterial small subunit ribosomal RNA", at positions 8 to 385 of the family's 1533-position model. The record is from RNAcentral.
AGAGUUUGAUCCUGGCUCAGAUUGAACGCUGGCGGCAUGCCUUACACAUGCAAGUCGAACGGCAGCGCGGGGCAACCUGGCGGCGAGUGGCGAACGGGUGAGUAAUAUAUCGGAACGUAGCCUGGAGUGGGGGAUAACGUAGCGAAAGUUACGCUAAUACCGCAUACGAUCUAAGGAUGAAAGUGGGGGAUCGCAAGACCUCAUGCUCCUGGAGCGGCCGAUAUCUGAUUAGCUAGUUGGCGGGGUAAAAGCCCACCAAGGCAACGAUCAGUAGCUGGUCUGAGAGGACGACCAGCCACACUGGAACUGAGACACGGUCCAGACUCCUACGGGAGGCAGCAGUGGGGAAUUUUGGACAAUGGGCGCAAGCCUG